RNAcentral lists this ribosomal RNA (320 nucleotides) under uncultured eukaryote. Its description in RNAcentral is "partial 18S ribosomal RNA". It matches the Rfam family "Eukaryotic small subunit ribosomal RNA", at positions 1470 to 1796 of the family's 1831-position model. The record is from RNAcentral.
CCCUUAGAUGUUCUGGGCCGCACGCGCGCUACACUGACGAAUGCAACGAGCUUAUAACCUUGUCCGAAAGGUCUGGGUAAUCUCCAAAUUUCGUCGUGAUGGGGAUAGAUUAUUGCAAUUAUUAAUCUUCAACGAGGAAUGCCUAGUAAGCGCAAGUCAUCAGCUUGCGUUGAUUACGUCCCUGCCCUUUGUACACACCGCCCGUCGCACCUACCGAUUGAAUGGUCCGGUGAAAUCUCGGGACGGCGGCUUGGUCGCUUGCGUCCGACUGCUGAAACUUGAUUAAACCAUAUCAUUUAGAGGAAGGUGAAGUCGUAACA